UUCUUUUCUUCUUCUUCUUUCUUCUUCUCUUUUCCUUUCUUUAUUCGUUCUUCUGCCGGUUUCAUCGAGGGUUAGUGAUAGAAUUAGUCGAAGGCAGUUAGUUGAUGAGUGGGUUUGGAUGAUGGAGGAGAUGGUGUAGUGGUAAUUCAUUAAGAAAAUCAAUUAGAAGUUGACGAAUUAGAACAGAGAGAACCAAGUUAGGGUUUUGGUGAUUAUGUUGGUUUCUUAAGAAUAUUGAUGAGUAAUUUGGGUUGUUGUUAGAUGGAGAGUGAACGGGUUGUAGUUUAAUUGAAGUUCUGAAGUUAUUGGAGAUAAAUUGAGAAAUUAGGGUUUCAUAAUAUGAACUCAAAGAAGGAUUAGAAGAUGAAAGUAAGGUUCUAAUAGAUUGAUUAGAGAUAGGGUGUUGAUUGAUUUGAAGAUUUGAAUGGAAGUAUUAGGUUUGAUUGAGAGAAGCGAAGAUUGGAAUUUGAAUUAGGGAUCCUGUGGAUAAAAAAAUUAGGGAUUUGGAAUUCGUUUUAAUGAUACUAAGAAGGAAUUGAAGAUGGGUUUUCCCUGAAUUAGAAUAAGGUUGAAGAAAUUGAUAACUGGGGUUAUGAUUCUGUUGGAGUGAAGAUUUUAGGAAUUGGCUGUGAUGAACUGUGGUUUAAGGGUUAGACGGUGAUGAGCUGAGUCGAAUCAAUCUAAAUAAGGAGUUGAUUUCAAUUGGGGGAGAAAGUCUUUUGAGAUAUUAGUGGUGGUUAUGUGUUGCUGUGAACAAUAAAGGACUUGAUUGUUAUGGUGUUGCAGGUGAUGUUGAGUUAAGAAUUGUUAUGGAGGUGAACUGUAAUGAGUGAAGAUGAGGAUUGUGUUAGAGUGGAGUGUAUGGUUGUGGUAAUGGAGUUGAAAUGAACUUGGAGGUAAUGGAACUGAACUGGUGGUGUUGACCGUUUUAAAGUAAUGAUACUGCAUUGAACUGUUGGAAUGAGAAGUGUGAUGGUUUGGUACGGUAAUGAAGGGUAUAUAGUUGUGAGUUGAAUUGGUGGUUUUGAUGACUUGUAUUGAUGAAUCUAAGGUUGGGCUUAGUUUAUUAGUGAUUAUAAAAUUGUAGAUUGUAUUCACGUGAAAGUUUGGAAGCUUGCAACUACUGCAAUUGCAGAUAGAUAUUGAUAUUGAUGUUGUAAAUGAUUUAUGAAGUUUAAGUUAAGCUUAUGUAUUGUUGUAUUGAUUGAUUGUUAGAACUGAUUUGAGAUA
Long non-coding RNA from Papaver somniferum (opium poppy), 1230 nucleotides. RefSeq lists it as uncharacterized. Lineage: Eukaryota; Viridiplantae; Streptophyta; Magnoliopsida; Ranunculales; Papaveraceae. The record is from RefSeq and is a predicted model, not a curated record. The transcript is spliced from 2 exons.